CAGAGGACGAUGAGAUUCAUUACUCCAUCAAACCAGAGCUCUAUGAUUCAGAUCCCAACGUUAAAGAUGAGCUGUGGAUGGCUAAGAAAAGAGAUGGUCGUACUUUGAUGAUGUGCUUAGCUGUCCAGCUUGUUUCACCACUGUAUGCUUAGAGUGUCAAAGGUGAUUUCACAUUUUUAGUUUCAUUAGAAACGAAUUGAAUCUUUGGUUUCUCAGUUCUGUCAUUAGAGAAUUGCAGCAGAGAGGGACCAUUUCAGACAGCAGAGGAGAGUAUCCAUCGAAAGAGCAAUGAACCAAUCAAAAAGUCGUACUUUGCUACAGAAAAUUUGUUUUGGACAGUCGAAUCAACUGUGCUCAGUGACAAAGUUACAGACCUGAAGAGAGCUCUAUGGAGACGACUAUUUCGCUCCCAAAUAGUGUAGAUAAUAUACUGCCAAGCUAGGAGGAGAAACUUCUUUCUAGCUAAGAGGAGACCUUCUUUUUAGCUACGGACGGGCAUUAAGCCAAAUAAUUACAUAUCUAUAUAUUAUCAAUUUUAAUUAAUAUUUAAAAUAUUUAGCUUAUUUUAAAUUAAAAUGAUAUUUAUAUUCAUCAUGCAUGUUUUGUUAUUUUUAUAGAUUAUGUUCAUCUUACUAUUAAAAAAUGUUCAGCAAUACAUAAUAUGUUCAUA
Molecule: long non-coding RNA, 670 nt
Organism: Raphanus sativus (radish)
Lineage: Eukaryota; Viridiplantae; Streptophyta; Magnoliopsida; Brassicales; Brassicaceae
Exons: 2
Source: RefSeq, a predicted model, not a curated record